AAAAGCCAUAAGCUAGCUGUCCAAACGAAAAUUACAAAUAAAAGUAAAGGUGGAGUGAGGAAAUCAAUCUUCUUCAUAGCCUGAUGCAGCAACAUCUCAAGGUUCAUGCUCUGCCAAGAAAAAGAAGCCAAGGGUUAGAAAAAUGCAAACAGUUAGGUAAAGCGCGCAGUCAUAUGAAGGUGAGGAGUUAAGCUAAGAACACCACAUCUCAGAAGAACUGCUAGAGGUGUCAACAAGCAACUGAUUUGCUGCAAGCUGAAGGCACACUGUUAUUUCCUUGGAGCUUCCACGAACCAACUUCUUUAAUUUGAGCUUCUCAACCUCUAGUUCCUUAAGUUGCAGUUCGAGAGCACGCAUCAAUUUGUUGACUUUAAUGAAUUGAUCCAAGAC
RNAcentral lists this long non-coding RNA (390 nucleotides) under Malus domestica (apple). RNAcentral's name for it is "long non-coding RNA (MDOM_LNC002641)". Lineage: Eukaryota; Viridiplantae; Streptophyta; Magnoliopsida; Rosales; Rosaceae. The record is from RNAcentral.